Non-coding RNA from Arachis ipaensis, 472 nucleotides. NCBI's taxonomy places the organism in Eukaryota, Viridiplantae, Streptophyta, Magnoliopsida, Fabales, Fabaceae. The record is from RefSeq and is a predicted model, not a curated record.
AGCCCUCAAUAUUUCAAGGAUCAAGUAUGUAACACCUCUAAAGUAGUUUUCGAAAAUGGAUCCUUUUAUUAUUAUUAUUUUUUUUUUUUUGCUUAUUAUUUGUUAAAGUAUAAUCUUUCACCUUGUACUCUUUGCCAAACAAUUGAAAAAAAAAUUGAAAGAUCCACUCCCGUAGUUUUGUCCCAAGACCAGACAUCAUGCUUGUGAUACCCUAUAAUCCAUGACGAAAUGUAAGCCACACCUUUAUCAAAAAAAAUGAAAUUGCGAAAGAAAAAAAGAUCAUGCUAUUAUCUAUAAUUUAUGAUUAUUACUUUCGCUGAAUGUUUUCCUCAGACUCAAAUUAUACAGUACAAGCAACGUGCCUCUCAUAAUUUUCCUAAGAUCCAACGCCAUGGCAAGAAAAAUAAUAUAUAAAAAAAUGAAAUAAAAUGAAAUCUGCUCUAUACUUAGUAUGAGUGAUAAUGGAGAACUU